GAACUUAGUGAGACCCCCCAUCUCAAUUAAAAAUAUUUUAAAGAAUGAUUGUUUUGCCAUUAUAAGCCAUCUGCAAGCUGAGGAGCAAGGAAGCCAGUCCGAGUCCCAAAACCUCAAAAGAAGGGAAGCCAACAGUGCAGCCUUCAGUCUGUGGCCGAAGGCCUGAGAACCCCUGGCAAACCGCUGGUGUAGAUACAAGAGUCCAAAAGCUGAAGAACUUGGAGUCCGAUGCUUGAGGACAGGAAGCAUUAUUUUUUAGUGAUUUAUUCUGAUUCCUCAAGGCACAAAGGCAGUGGAGAAACAUGGAGGAGAGCUUGUUUACCAACACAUGACUGCUCCAUUCUCAAAAGUCUCUUCCCCUGCCAUGGGAAGAAGGCAGCCCGCAGCUACUGGUUGACAUCCCACCACCUAGGCUACCACAGUGGAAAGUGAGUAUCUCUUUCCCAGAAGUUCCAGGAAAUGUCCCAGAGUUGGGUCUCAUUGGCCUGGCUUGGAUCUCAUGCCCAUUCGUGACAUAGCAACUGAGGCCAGGGUGUGGA
RNAcentral lists this long non-coding RNA (539 nucleotides) under Homo sapiens (human). RNAcentral describes it as "HSALNT0230763". The record is from RNAcentral. Lineage: Eukaryota; Metazoa; Chordata; Mammalia; Primates; Hominidae.